RNAcentral lists this ribosomal RNA (496 nucleotides) under uncultured bacterium. RNAcentral's name for it is "partial 16S ribosomal RNA". It matches the Rfam family "Bacterial small subunit ribosomal RNA", at positions 28 to 507 of the family's 1533-position model. The record is from RNAcentral.
GAUGAACGCUGGCGGCGUGCCUAAUACAUGCAAGUCGAGCGAACAGACGAGGAGCUUGCUCCUCUGACGUUAGCGGCGGACGGGUGAGUAACACGUGGAUAACCUACCUAUAAGACUGGGAUAACUUCGGGAAACCGGAGCUAAUACCGGAUAAUAUAUUGAACCGCAUGGUUCAAUAGUGAAAGACGGUUUUGCUGUCACUUAUAGAUGGAUCCGCGCCGCAUUAGCUAGUUGGUAAGGUAACGGCUUACCAAGGCAACGAUGCGUAGCCGACCUGAGAGGGUGAUCGGCCACACUGGAACUGAGACCCGGUCAGACUCCUACGGGAGGCAGCAGUAGGGAAUCUUCCGCAAUGGGCGAAAGCCUGACGGAGCAACGCCGCGUGAGUGAUGAAGGUCUUCGGAUCGUAAAACUCUGUUAUUAGGGAAGAACAAAUGUGUAAGUAACUAUGCACGUCUUGACGGUACCUAAUCAGAAAGCCACGGCUAACUACGUG